RNAcentral lists this ribosomal RNA (427 nucleotides) under uncultured Lachnospiraceae bacterium. RNAcentral describes it as "bacterial SSU rRNA". It matches the Rfam family "Bacterial small subunit ribosomal RNA", at positions 355 to 794 of the family's 1533-position model. The record is from RNAcentral. Lineage: Bacteria; Bacillati; Bacillota; Clostridia; Lachnospirales; Lachnospiraceae.
UAGGGAAUAUUGGGGCAAUGGGGCGCAAGCCUGACCCAGCAACGCCGCGUGAGGGAAGAAGGUUUUCGGAUUGUAAACCUCUGUCCUAUGUGACGAAGGAAGCGACGGUAGCAUAGGAGGAAGCCCCGGCUAACUACGUGCCAGCAGCCGCGGUAAUACGUAGGGGGCAAGCGUUAUCCGGAUUUACUGGGUGUAAAGGGAGCGUAGGCGGCCAUGCAAGUCAGAAGUGAAAGCCCGGGGCUCAACCCCGGGACUGCUUUUGAAACUGUAAGGCUAGAUUGCCGGAGAGGUAAGCGGAAUUCCUAGUGUAGCGGUGAAAUGCGUAGAUAUUAGGAGGAACACCAGUGGCGAAGGCGGCUUACUGGACGGUCAAUGACGCUGAGGCUCGAAAGCGUGGGGAGCAAACAGGAUUAGAUACCCUGGUAGU